AUACGGAAGGUCCGGGCGUUAUCCGGAUUUAUUGGGUUUAAAGGGAGCGCAGGCGGAGAUGCAAGCGUGACGUCAAAUUUCGGGGCUCAACCCCGUCUCGCGUCGCGAACUGAGUCCCUUGGUUGCGGGAAGGGGAGGCGGAACUCGUGGUGUAGCGGGGAAAUGCAUAGAUAUCACGAAGAACUCCGAUCGCGAAGGCAGCCUUCCGGCCCGUCAACGACGCUCAUGCUCGAAGGUGCGGGUAUCAAACAGGAUUAGAUACCCUGGUAGUCCGCACAGUAAACGAUGGACACCCGCGGUUUGGCCUGUAUGGCUGAGCCGCCAAGCGAAAGCGUUAAGUGUCCCACCUGGGGAGUACGCCGGCAACGGUGAAACUCAAAUGAAUUGGCGGGG
RNAcentral lists this ribosomal RNA (393 nucleotides) under uncultured bacterium. RNAcentral's name for it is "partial 16S ribosomal RNA". It matches the Rfam family "Bacterial small subunit ribosomal RNA", at positions 523 to 918 of the family's 1533-position model. The record is from RNAcentral.